CGCGUAGGUGGCUGGGUAAGUCCAUGGUGAAAUCCCUCGGCUCAACCGAGGAACGGCCGUGGAUACUGCCUGGCUUGAGGUCGGGAGGGGAAAGUGGAACUCUCGGUGUAGCGGUGAAAUGCGUAGAUAUCGAGAGGAACGCCGGUGGCGAAAGCGACUUUCUGACCGUACCUGACACUGAGGCGCGAAGCUAGGGGAGCAAACA
This 205-nucleotide ribosomal RNA is filed under the name uncultured bacterium. Its description in RNAcentral is "partial 16S ribosomal RNA". It matches the Rfam family "Bacterial small subunit ribosomal RNA", at positions 568 to 774 of the family's 1533-position model. The record is from RNAcentral.